CUUAGGUAGGAUCUCAAUGAUAAUUACCUUGUUAUAGGUUCGUACUUCGUAGGUUUUAGAGCUAUAGUUACAAGUCUUAUAAUGUGUAGUUAAAUGAAAAUUGGAAAACCUCAACGUCAGAAAUUGCGGAAUAUUCUUCAGCAAUAAUGUUUUAGAGAUUUGACAGUGACUGAAGUUAAUAUUAGUAUUUACCUUCUAUUUAAUUUGCCUCUGCUUUGCUCUUAUUUUCUGUAUUUGAUUAGUCCUUUGUUAUUCUGCAGCCAUUAUUUCUCUUGCAUUCGUGAUUAUUCAUACUUUUUCCAUGAUUAUUGCGUUCAAUGGAUACGCUGAUGGGAGGAAAGUUGACCAAGUAAUGGUUCCUGUCGUUCAUAUUCUUGCUGCUGUCAUGACGCUCAUGAAUCUUGCACCAGGCGGUUGCAGUAUAGGUGUUCCUCUUCUUUGCUGCGUUGGAGCUAUAACUAUGUACUAUUGCUGGCAGAUGGUCUGGAGGAAACUGACCGAGCAUGGAAGAAGACAGAGGAAUGCUUCUGAAAUCCAUAUCUCCUGAUACAUUCGUAGUACACUCAGAAAUGCCGCAUUUCUGCACUUUUUUCAUGAUAUAGAAAUGAAAACACUGUCAAUGAAAACACUUUAUCGAGUUACCGAUGAUCACAUGUAAUAACUACUAAGAUGUACAAAACUUCAUUGUAGGGUCUCGAGAAAUGUCGGAUUAUAUUAUGCCAACUGCAUGCAGUCUUAUUUUAUAUUUUUUUUAUGAGAUUAUUUUUGUGAUACGAA
Zingiber officinale is the source of this 777-nucleotide long non-coding RNA. RefSeq lists it as uncharacterized. The transcript has 2 exons. The record is from RefSeq and is a predicted model, not a curated record. Lineage: Eukaryota; Viridiplantae; Streptophyta; Magnoliopsida; Zingiberales; Zingiberaceae.